RNAcentral lists this ribosomal RNA (439 nucleotides) under uncultured bacterium. RNAcentral's name for it is "partial 16S ribosomal RNA". It matches the Rfam family "Bacterial small subunit ribosomal RNA", at positions 339 to 795 of the family's 1533-position model. The record is from RNAcentral.
CUACGGGUUGCUCCAGUGGGGAAUAUUGCACAAUGGAGGAAACUCUGAUGUAGCAACGCCGCGUGGAGGAUGACACUUUUCGGAGCGUAAACUCCUUUUAUAUAGGAAGAAGAUGACGGUACUAUAUGAAUAAGCGCCGGCUAACUCCGUGCCAGCAGCCGCGGUAAUACGGAGGGCGAAAGCGUUACUCGGAAUCACUGGGCGUAAAGAGCGUGUAGGCGGAUUAAAAAGUCAGAAGUGAAAUCCUAUAGCUUAACUAUAGAACUGCUUCUGAAACUCUUAAUCUAGAAUAUGGGAGAGGUAGAGGGAAUUUCUGGUGUAGGGGUAAAAUCCGUAGAGAUCAGAAGGAAUACCGAUUGCGAAGGCGAUCUACUAGAACAUUAUUGACGCUGAGACGCGAAAGCGUGGGGAGCAAACAGGAUUAGAUACCCGAGUAGUC